ACUGAGCAAAUCCCAGCGGGUAGAGCCUCUAUCAUCUGAGCAAGACGCCAAAGCUGAGUCCAGGGAGGGGACGGCUCGUAGCCAGUCGAGUGCCUGAUCCAGGAUGACGACACAGAGAAGAUGAAUGGAUCUGGAAGGCAUUGAGCUAAAUGAUACAAACUGUCAUAAGAGGACAAAUACCACACGAAGGACAGAAAGGUGAGCACAGACCACAGGGCACAUGCUCUGCAGACAUGUCUGAUGGCAGCCAAGCUUUCUCUACUUUUGCAUGAAUAGCUGGCAACCUCACCCUCCACAGUCUCUUCCAGAUGAAGGGCAUGUACAUUUGCCACACUGUUUCCUGCCCAGUAAGCCAGGAAAAAGCCCUGCCAAGGUACCAACUUCUGCCUUGCCUCCCUCCAUCACCAGUGGGCCAGGGGAUGUAAAUGCCUGGAGACAGCACUCCUGCUGCUAGGCAGGUGAUUUGCUGUAUGAGCCUUCCUGGUGCGACAGAGCAAUGGCAGCUCUCUGUUAUCCCACUGGUCAUGGGGUGAACAGCCAACACCCUAUGGGUGUGCUGUUGCUGAGCUACUGUCUGGAAGAUUGGAGGACUAAAGGAUACUUUAACUCAGGACAUCUUCAAGGC
Long non-coding RNA from Peromyscus eremicus (cactus mouse), 625 nucleotides. RefSeq lists it as uncharacterized. NCBI's taxonomy places the organism in Eukaryota, Metazoa, Chordata, Mammalia, Rodentia, Cricetidae. The record is from RefSeq and is a predicted model, not a curated record. The transcript is spliced from 4 exons.